UACAGAGGAUGCAAGCGUUAUCCGGAAUGAUUGGGCGUAAAGCGUCUGUAGGUGGCUUUUUAAGUCCGCCGUCAAAUCCCAGGGCUCAACUCUGGACAGGCGGUGGAAACUACUAAGCUGGAGGAUGGUAGGGGCAGAGGGAAUUUCCGGUGGAGUGGUGAAAUGCGUAGAGAUCGGAAAGAACACCAACGGCGAAAGCACUCUGCUGGGCCGACACUGACACUGAGAGACGAAAGCUAGGAGAGCGAAUGGG
This 253-nucleotide ribosomal RNA is filed under the name uncultured bacterium. RNAcentral's name for it is "partial 16S ribosomal RNA". It matches the Rfam family "Bacterial small subunit ribosomal RNA", at positions 524 to 776 of the family's 1533-position model. The record is from RNAcentral.